GCUAGCGCACAGUCAGUAACACGUGGCUAACCUGCCUUGGGACAGAAACAUCCCCGGGAAACUGGGGCUAAUUUCCGAUAGGUGAAGACUCCUGGAAUGGAUUUUCGCCGAAAGGGCGCUUAGGGCAUGCUUCUAGGCGUUGCCCAAGGAUGGGGCCGCGGCCGAUCAGGUUGUUGGUGAGGUAAUGGCUCACCAAGCCUUUAACCGGUACGGGCCGUGGGAGCGGUAGCCCGGAGAUGGGCACUGAGACAAGGGCCCAGGCCCUACGGGGCGCAGCAGUCGCGAAAACUUCGCAAUAAGCGAAAGCUUGACGGGGCCAUCCCGAGUGCCAUCUGCUGAGGAUGGCUUUUACCCAGUAUAGAUAGCUGGGGGAAUAAGGAGAGGGCAAGUCUGGUGUCAGCCGCCGCGGUAAUACCAGCUCUCCGAGUUGUAGGGAUGUUUAUUGGGCCUAAAGCAUCCGUAGCCGGCUGGACAAGUCCUCUGUUAAAUCCAGCGACAAAUCGUUGGUCUGCGGGGGAUACUGUCCGGCUAGGGGGCGGGAGAGGCCGUCGGUAUUCUUGGGGUAGGGGUGAAAUCCUAUAAUCCCAGGAGGACCACCAGUGGCGAAGGCUGUCGGCUAGAACGCGCCCGACGGUGAGGGAUGAAAGCUGGGGGAGCGAACCGGAUUAGAUACCCGGGUAGUCCCAGCUGUAAACGAUGCAGGCUAGGUGUUAGGGCGGCUACGUGCCGCUCUAGUGCCGCAGGGAAGCUGUUAAGCCUGCCGCCUGGGGAGACGCCGCAAGGCUGAACUUAAAGGCCA
RNAcentral lists this ribosomal RNA (799 nucleotides) under uncultured soil archaeon. RNAcentral's name for it is "bacterial SSU rRNA". It matches the Rfam family "Archaeal small subunit ribosomal RNA", at positions 77 to 865 of the family's 1478-position model. The record is from RNAcentral.